UACGUAGGGUGCGAGCGUUAAUCGGAUUUACUGGGCGUAAAGCGUGCGCAGGCGGCUUCGCAAGUCAGGUGUGAAAUCCCCGGGCUCAACUUGGGAAUUGCGCUUGAAACUAUGGAGCUGGAGUGCGGCAGAGGGGGGUGGAAUUCCACGUGUAGCAGUGAAAUGCGUAGAGAUGUGGAGGAACACCGAUGGCGAAGGCAGCCCCCUGGGCCGCAACUGACGCUCAUGCACGAAAGCGUGGGGAGCAAACAGG
Molecule: ribosomal RNA, 253 nt
Filed under: uncultured bacterium
Lineage: Bacteria
Description: partial 16S ribosomal RNA
Rfam family: Bacterial small subunit ribosomal RNA
Source: RNAcentral